CCCGGAUGUUAGCGGCGGACGGGUGAGUAACACGUGGGUAACCUGCCUGUAAGACUGGGAUAACUCCGGGAAACCGGAGCUAAUACCGGAUAGUUCCUUGAACCGCAUGGUUCAAGGAUGAAAGACGGUUUCGGCUGUCACUUACAGAUGGACCCGCGGCGCAUUAGCUAGUUGGUGAGGUAACGGCUCACCAAGGCGACGAUGCGUAGCCGACCUGAGAGGGUGAUCGGCCACACUGGGACUGAGACACGGCCCAGACUCCUACGGGAGGCAGCAGUAGGGAAUCUUCCGCAAUGGACGAAAGUCUGACGGAGCAACGCCGCGUGAGUGAUGAAGGUUUUCGGAUCGUAAAGCUCUGUUGUUAGGGAAGAACAAGUGCAAGAGUAACUGCUUGCACCUUGACGGUACCUAACCAGAAAGCCACGGCUAACUACGUGCCAGCAGCCGCGGUAAUACGUAGGUGGCAAGCGUUGUCCGGAAUUAUUGGGCGUAAAGGGCUCGCAGGCGGUUUCUUAAGUCUGAUGUGAAAGCCCCCGGCUCAACCGGGGAGGGUCAUUGGAAACUGGGAAACUUGAGUGCAGAAGAGGAGAGUGGAAUUCCACGUGUAGCGGUGAAAUGCGUAGAGAUGUGGAGGAACACCAGU
RNAcentral lists this ribosomal RNA (643 nucleotides) under Bacillus sp. CL26.2. Its description in RNAcentral is "bacterial SSU rRNA". It matches the Rfam family "Bacterial small subunit ribosomal RNA", at positions 84 to 713 of the family's 1533-position model. The record is from RNAcentral. Lineage: Bacteria; Bacillati; Bacillota; Bacilli; Caryophanales; Bacillaceae.